Molecule: ribosomal RNA, 583 nt
Filed under: uncultured Alphaproteobacteria bacterium
Lineage: Bacteria; Pseudomonadati; Pseudomonadota; Alphaproteobacteria
Description: bacterial SSU rRNA
Rfam family: Bacterial small subunit ribosomal RNA
Source: RNAcentral
UGCAGUCGAACGAUGGCUUCGGCCGUAGUGGCGCACGGGUGAGUAACACGUGGGAACCUGCCUUUCGGUUCGGAAUAACGUCUGGAAACGGACGCUAACGCCGGAUACGCCCCCCAAAGAGAUUUGGGCGGGGAAAGUUUACGCCGAGAGAGGGGCCCGCGCCGGAUUAGGUAGUUGGUGGGGUAAUGGCCUACCAAGCCGACGAUCCGUAGCUGGUCUGAGAGGAUGAUCAGCCACACUGGGACUGAGACACGGCCCAGACUCCUACGGGAGGCAGCAGUGGGGAAUAUUGGACAAUGGGCGCAAGCCUGAUCCAGCAAUGCCGCGUGAGUGAUGAAGGCCUUAGGGUUGUAAAGCUCUUUCGCACGCGACGAUGAUGACGGUAGCGUGAGAAGAAGCCCCGGCUAACUUCGUGCCAGCAGCCGCGGUAAUACGAAGGGGGCUAGCGUUGUUCGGAAUUACUGGGCGUAAAGGGCGCGUAGGCGGCCUGUUAAGUCAGAAGUGAAAGCCCCGGGCUCAACCUGGGAAUUGCUUUUGAUACUGGCAGGCUUGAGUUCCGGAGAGGAUGGUGGAAUUCCCAGUG